CAAGUCGAGCGAGAAGGUGUAGCAAUACACUUGUAAAGCGGCGAACGGGUGAGGAAUACAUGGGUAAUCUACCAUCGAGUGGGGAAUAACCAACCGAAAGGUUGGCUAAUACCGCGUACGCCUCCGAGUCUUCGGGUUCGGAGGGAAAGCUGCACUGAGAGUGCAGCGCUCUUUGAUGAGCUCAUGUCCUAUCAGCUUGUUGGUAGGGUAACGGCCUACCAAGGCUUUGACGGGUAGCUGGUCUGAGAGGACGAUCAGCCACACUGGCACUGCGACACGGGCCAGACUCCUACGGGAGGCAGCAGUAAGGAAUAUUGCGCAAUGGGCGAAAGCCUGACGCAGCGACGCCGCGUGGGGGAUGAAGGUCUUCGGAUUGUAAACCCCUUUCGGGAGGGAAGAUGGAGCGAGCAAUCGUUCGGACGGUACCUCCAGAAGCAGCCACGGCCAACUUCGUGCCAGCAGCCGCGGUAAUACGAAGGUGGCAAGCGU
RNAcentral lists this ribosomal RNA (489 nucleotides) under uncultured bacterium. Its description in RNAcentral is "bacterial SSU rRNA". It matches the Rfam family "Bacterial small subunit ribosomal RNA", at positions 58 to 541 of the family's 1533-position model. The record is from RNAcentral.